GAUGAAGAACGUAGCGAAAUGCGAUAAGUAAUGUGAAUUGCAGAAUUCAGUGAAUCAUCGAAUCUUUGAACGCAUCUUGCGCUCCUUGGUAUUCCUUGGAGCAUGCCUGUUUGAGUAUCAUGAGCAAACCUCAAAGUCAAUUCCUUUUGUUAAUUCAAUUGGUUUUGCUUUGGACUUAGAGGUCUUGCAGAUUUCACAGUCUGCUCCUCUUAAAUGCAUUAGCUGGAUCUCAGUAAUUAUGCUUGGUUCCACUCGGCGUGAUAAGUAUCACUCGCUGAGGACACUGUUAAAAAGGUGGCCAGGAAAAUACUGAUUGAACCGCUUCUAACGGUCUAUUAAGUUAGACAAUUACCCUUAAGUUUGAUCUCAAAUCAGGUAGGACUACCCGCUGAACUUAAGCAUAUCAAUAAGCGGAGGA
RNAcentral lists this unclassified non-coding RNA (418 nucleotides) under soil metagenome. RNAcentral's name for it is "partial contains 5.8S ribosomal RNA, internal transcribed spacer 2, and large subunit ribosomal RNA". The stretch from base 1 to 120 matches the Rfam family "5.8S ribosomal RNA", at positions 35 to 154 of the family's 154-position model. The record is from RNAcentral.